This 640-nucleotide ribosomal RNA is filed under the name Fictibacillus sp. RNAcentral describes it as "bacterial SSU rRNA". It matches the Rfam family "Bacterial small subunit ribosomal RNA", at positions 69 to 694 of the family's 1533-position model. The record is from RNAcentral. Lineage: Bacteria; Bacillati; Bacillota; Bacilli; Caryophanales; Fictibacillaceae.
UGAUGAGGAGCUUGCUCCUCUGAUUUAGCGGCGGACGGGUGAGUAACACGUGGGUAAUCUGCCUGUAAGACGGGGAUAACUCCGGGAAACCGGGGCUAAUACCGGAUAAUAAGAGAAGAAGCAUUUCUUCUUUUUGAAAGUCGGUUUCGGCUGACACUUACAGAUGAGCCCGCGGCGCAUUAGCUAGUUGGUGAGGUAACGGCUCACCAAGGCGACGAUGCGUAGCCGACCUGAGAGGGUGAUCGGCCACACUGGGACUGAGACACGGCCCAGACUCCUACGGGAGGCAGCAGUAGGGAAUCUUCGGCAAUGGGCGAAAGCCUGACCGAGCAACGCCGCGUGAGCGAUGAAGGCCUUCGGGUCGUAAAGCUCUGUUGUUAGAGAAGAACAAGUACGAGAGUAACUGCUCGUACCUUGACGGUACCUAACCAGAAAGCCACGGCUAACUACGUGCCAGCAGCCGCGGUAAUACGUAGGUGGCAAGCGUUAUCCGGAAUUAUUGGGCGUAAAGCGCGCGCAGGCGGUCUCUUAAGUCUGAUGUGAAAGCCCACGGCUCAACCGUGGAGGGUCAUUGGAAACUGGGAGACUUGAGUGCAGGAGAGAAAAGUGGAAUUCCACGUGUAGCGGUGAAAUGCGUAGA